AUGGUGACCCCAGGCCGGUCCACCCACCCCAGGAACUACAAACAUCAACAGCUACUAUUCUUCACACUGCUCUCCCUGGGAGGACGCUGCUACAUCAGCUCGCCGGAGGGUUCGGUCUACCUUAUGGAGCUGGAGCCGCUACCUCGGCUGGUGGAUGUGGUUGACGAGCGCUGCUUUGCCGAACCAGAUAACAUUUGGCGCGAGCACAUAAUGUCGUUCCUGGUGAGUGACACCGGUGGGAGGAUGCUGAUGGUGAGGUACUGGAGCUGCAUGGAGCGCUUCGGCGGCGUUGAGGCUUACAAUCCAGAGGACCUAUUCACGGGCGCGGCAUCGCCAGCCGCAUUGAGGUUUUGGAGGUGGACAUCGCCGGCAGGAGGCUGGUUCCCGUCAGGAGCCUUGGCCGGCAUGCGGUGUUUAUUGGCCUGA
This 426-nucleotide ribosomal RNA is filed under the name Triticum aestivum (bread wheat). RNAcentral describes it as "partial small subunit ribosomal RNA". The record is from RNAcentral. Lineage: Eukaryota; Viridiplantae; Streptophyta; Magnoliopsida; Poales; Poaceae.